Molecule: ribosomal RNA, 402 nt
Filed under: uncultured bacterium
Lineage: Bacteria
Description: bacterial SSU rRNA
Rfam family: Bacterial small subunit ribosomal RNA
Source: RNAcentral
UGGGGAAUAUUGCACAAUGGGGGAAACCCUGAUGCAGCAACGCCGCGUGAGUGAUGACGGCCUUCGGGUUGUAAAGCUCUGUCUUCAGGGACGAUAAUGACGGUACCUGAGGAGGAAGCCACGGCUAACUACGUGCCAGCAGCCGCGGUAAUACGUAGGUGGCAAGCGUUGUCCGGAUUUACUGGGCGUAAAGGGAGCGUAGGCGGACUUUUAAGUGAGAUGUGAAAUACCCGGGCUCAACCUGGGUGCUGCAUUUCAAACUGGAAGUCUAGAGUGCAGGAGAGGAUAGUGGAAUUCCUAGUGUAGCGGUGAAAUGCGUAGAGAUUAGGAAGAACACCAGUGGCGAAGGCGGUCAACUGGCCCAUAACUGACGCUCAUGCACGAAAGCGUGGGGAGCAAACA